AAAAUAUAUAAUAAUAAUAAUAAUUAAAGCUGCAAGCAGCGAUGGACGGGUCCUCGCAUCCACGCUGGUCGGCGAAUCCAUGCACGUCCACCAGGUGGCACUGUGACUGAGAGUGUGUGCUGGCCUCUGAAUCACAUCUGGACCAGAGUUUAAUGACACGUAAAAUUUCAGCCAGAUUGGAGCAUGUUCAGACUAGUUAUACAGCAUUUCCUGCCCAUCCACCACCAGGUGGCGCUGUAACUCAGAGUGUAUUUCACACAGUGGAUGUGAUGAGGGUUGGACUCUGAUCACUCAUGAAAAGUUUCAGGCUGAUUUGAUCAUGUAGAGGCCAGUUAUACAGCAUUUACUGUCCCUCCAUCAGGUGGCGCUGCGACUGAGAGUGUCUGUUGGCCUGUAGAUGUGAUCAGGAUUGGAUUGUGAUCACACAUGGAAAGUUUGAGGCAGAUUGGAGCAUGCAGAGGAGAGUUAUACAGCAGUUGAUGUUUCAUGGCGAAGCAUCAAAACGCUGAUGGUCGCCAUGGCCACGCCAUUUGGCUUCUGGUUAAACUUUUGAUAACUUUUCCAAACCAAGUCCUGCUGUGUGGACUGACAAAAUUUCAGGUCUCCUGGAAUUAUCCCCUAGGAGGUAUUAACUCUCAAAAAUGAGAAAAAUCAUCAAAAAUCUCACAAUUAAUCCAAGAUGGCCGACUUCCUGUUGGGUUUAGGACAUGGCUCCAAGAGGCUUUUUUGUGCGUCCUGAUGUGCUCUAUAAGCCUCCCAAAUUUCAUGGAUGUAGGUGAAACGUGCUGGGGGGGCUGUUUGUUAAAAAUACUGUAGGGGGCGCUAUAGCAUGUGCAGUGCCGAGAUGCAUACAGUGUUGUUCCUUGGGUCAAUGGUGAUGUGUGUGGUAAUUUUUGUGAGCAUUGGAGUAUUCCUAACCUGUCAGAAAGGGCUUUGUUUUUCAUGGCGAUAUUUGGUUGCUACGGCAACAGCGUUACAUGAAAUGUCACACCCUUCACAGUGUGUGAUUGUCAAGAGGUGAAGACUCGACUGACCAAUUUCCAGCAUGAUAUCACCAAGUUUGGGGCCAUUGUACCUGAAAAUAUAAGGCCUUAAACUUACUAUUACCAACAGGUGGCGCUAUGACUUUUUCAGAAUUUAUGAGUGUGGAUGUGUUCAGACUGGACCUGGUGUCCAUCAUGUGAAGUUUGGGGCAGAUAGGAUCUUGUUCAGCUGAGAUAUGAAUCGUUAAAUUUUCAUGGCGAAACAUCGAAAUUGGUUUGGCCGCCACAGACACGCCCUUUGAUGACAAGUCACCAUUUUCACUGGGAUGCAUCAUCAAUGUGUUUAGGCUGUUGUCACUGCAUUUGAAGUGAAUAUGAUCAACCGGGUAACAAUAGGGCAUGAAAGUGUAAAAGAUGUCUAUUUCCUGAAACCACAAGGUGGCGCUAUGACU
Acanthochromis polyacanthus (spiny chromis) is the source of this 1435-nucleotide long non-coding RNA. RefSeq lists it as uncharacterized. The record is from RefSeq and is a predicted model, not a curated record. The transcript is spliced from 3 exons. Lineage: Eukaryota; Metazoa; Chordata; Actinopteri; Pomacentridae.